UACGGAGGGGGCAAGCGUUAUUCGGAAUUAUUGGGCGUAAAGAGCUCGUAGGCGGUCUGUCACGUCGGAUGUGAAAGCCCGGGGCUUAACCCCGGGUCUGCAUUCGAUACGGGCAGACUAGAGUGUGGUAGGGGAGAUCGGAAUUCCUGGUGUAGCGGUGAAAUGCGCAGAUAUCAGGAGGAACACCGGUGGCGAAGGCGGAUCUCUGGGCCAUUACUGACGCUGAGGAGCGAAAGCGUGGGGAGCGAACAGG
This 253-nucleotide ribosomal RNA is filed under the name uncultured bacterium. RNAcentral's name for it is "partial 16S ribosomal RNA". It matches the Rfam family "Bacterial small subunit ribosomal RNA", at positions 524 to 776 of the family's 1533-position model. The record is from RNAcentral.